RNAcentral lists this long non-coding RNA (828 nucleotides) under Mytilus galloprovincialis (Mediterranean mussel). The record is from RNAcentral. Lineage: Eukaryota; Metazoa; Mollusca; Bivalvia; Mytilida; Mytilidae.
GUUCGUGACCAACAGGCGGAAGUGUAGACCAAUGUCAGUGGUUAUUGUGGUUUAUAGCUUUAUAAGUCAGUGACUGUAUUUAACAUAAUUUUAUAACGCAUUUUGAUAUCCUUGAUAGAGGAUAAGUGCUUAUAUACAUGAUAUGCAAUCAAGGGGUCUUAACAUUAAUGUCGAAUCUUUUUUUUUAUGAAAACCCUCGUGACGAAUUUGAAGGAAAACCUGUAAUUAACUUGAUGAGGUUUUUUUUUGUUGUCUUUAGAUUUAGUCAUUUGCGGUUUGUUUUUAGUCUUUUUAUGGUUUUCCAUGGAUUUAUCAACCCUUCUUUGAAUUUAUACUUUUGAAAGCUCUUGUAAACUGAGUUUUGAAUUCGAUAUAAGCAUACAUUUACAUAAGGGCAACUCGACUGGGGUACAUGCUUGAAAGGAUAUAAACACUGUGUAUCAUAACCACCGGAUAAAGAUACCCUUGGCUUGGAUCUCUGUUCAUUGUCUAAGAAAAAACACCAUUACUGUAAAAUACCAGCGUAUAGCUACCUGGGAACCCACAUGUUGGUAUUUGUACAGUAAAGUGGUUUUCCUUAGACAAUGAACAGAGAACCAGGCCGAGGGUACGUCAUGAUACACAAUUGAUCAUUCUCAAUUCGUGCAUUUGAAAUGUUCCAAUACUAAUUUCUCCAAUUUUCGUGCGUAUAUCUAUACGCCUUUGUUUUAGAUAUCGUUACAUACUCAAAAUGUUAUAUGUCUUUCAUAUCAGACAAAGGUAAAUAUGCACACCUUAAAUCAAAGUUGAAAUAACAAUGUUAUCACAAAACCAGGUUCAAUCCACCAU